GAUGAAGAACGCAGCAAAAUGCGAUAAGUAAUGUGAAUUGCAGAAUUCAGUGAAUCAUCGAAUCUUUGAACGCACAUUGCGCCCGCCAGUAUUCUGGCGGGCAUGCCUGUUCGAGCGUCAUUUCAACCCUCAAGCUCAGCUUGGUGUUGGGACUCGCGGUAACCCGCGUUCCCCAAAUCGAUUGGCGGUCACGUCGAGCUUCCAUAGCGUAGUAAUCAUACACCUCGUUACUGGUAAUCGUCGCGGCCACGCCGUAAAACCCCAACUUCUGAAUGUUGACCUCGGAUCAGGUAGGAAUACCCGCUGAACUUGAGCAUAUCAAUAAGCGGAGGA
This 333-nucleotide unclassified non-coding RNA is filed under the name soil metagenome. Its description in RNAcentral is "partial contains 5.8S ribosomal RNA, internal transcribed spacer 2, and large subunit ribosomal RNA". The stretch from base 1 to 120 matches the Rfam family "5.8S ribosomal RNA", at positions 35 to 154 of the family's 154-position model. The record is from RNAcentral.